This 373-nucleotide ribosomal RNA is filed under the name uncultured eukaryote. Its description in RNAcentral is "partial 18S ribosomal RNA". It matches the Rfam family "Eukaryotic small subunit ribosomal RNA", at positions 592 to 976 of the family's 1831-position model. The record is from RNAcentral.
CAAUAGCGUAUAUUAAAGUUGUUGCAGUUAAAAAGCUCGUAGUUGGAUUUCUGGGAGGGUGCCAAUGUCCGCCGUCGUGCGUGCGCAGCGGCGCCCUUCCAUCCUUCUGUUAACGCCUCUUGGCAUUCAUUUGCUGGUGGCGGGCUCAGAUAUUUUACCUUGAGAAAAUUAGAGUGUUUCAGGCAGGCUAGGCCGGAAUACAUUAGCAUGGAAUAAUGGAAUAGGACUACGGUCUCGUUGUUGGUUUGAGGGACUGCAGUAAUGAUUAAUAGGGAUAGUUGGGGGCAUUAGUAUUUAAUUGUCAGAGGUGGAAUUCUCGGAUUUGUUAAAGACUAACUUAUGCGAAANCANNNGCCAAGGAUGUUUUCAUNAA